ACUAGAGCCAAAACUAUCUCAAAAGUUUAGGGCAUUAGUUUUUCUCCUUUUUGAUAAUAUUCAAUGAGAAAUGACACUUAGAAUAUAACCUUUUCCAUGGAUAAGGAUUAGUAAUAUCCAC
Vicugna pacos (alpaca) is the source of this 121-nucleotide non-coding RNA. NCBI's taxonomy places the organism in Eukaryota, Metazoa, Chordata, Mammalia, Artiodactyla, Camelidae. The record is from Rfam.